ACUAAAUAGAUACCCGGGUGGUCCUGGCCGUAAACACUGAGCACUGGAGGAGAGGGGUUUCGGCCUUUCUCCUCGCAGCGAAAAAGCGUUAAAGUGCUCCGCCUGGGGAGCAUGGUCGCAAGGCUGAAACUCAAAGAAAUUGACGGGGGCUCACACAAGCGGUGGAGCAUGUGGCUUAAUUCGAGGCAACGCGAAGAACCUUAUCCUGGAUUUGACAUGCACGGAUUAACUCUCUGAAAGGAGAGCCACGCCUUCGGGUGGAACGUGCACAGGUGCUGCAUGGCUGUCGUCAGCUCGUGUCGUGAGAUGUCGCGUUAAGUCGCUAAACGAGCGAAACCCCUAUCCCUAGUUGCCAGCACGUUAUGGUGGGGACUCUAGGGAGACCACCGGCGUCAAGCCGGAGGAAGGCGGGGAUGACGUCAAGUCCUCAUGGCCUUUAUGUCCAGGGCUGCACACGUGCUACAAUGGUGCGUACAGAGGGACGCCAAGCCGCGAGGCCGAGCAAAUCCCAAAAACGCG
RNAcentral lists this ribosomal RNA (519 nucleotides) under uncultured bacterium. RNAcentral describes it as "bacterial SSU rRNA". It matches the Rfam family "Bacterial small subunit ribosomal RNA", at positions 772 to 1285 of the family's 1533-position model. The record is from RNAcentral.